UGGGGAAUCUUGCGCAAUGGGCGAAAGCCUGACGCAGCGACGCCGCGUGCGGGAAGAAGGCCUUAGGGUUGUAAACCGCUUUCAGGAGGGACGAAGCUACUCGGGUUAAUAGCCCAGAGGGUGACGGUACCUCCAGAAGAAGCCCCGGCUAACUACGUGCCAGCAGCCGCGGUAAGACGUAGGGGGCUAGCGUUGUCCGGAUUCAUUGGGCGUAAAGCGCGUGUAGGCGGCCAGGUAGGUCGGAUGUGAAAACUGGAGGCUCAACCUCCAGCCGUCAUCCGAAACCAUCUGGCUAGAGUCCGGAAGAGGAGAGUGGAAUUCCUGGUGUAGCGGUGAAAUGCGCAGAUAUCAGGAAGAACACCUAUGGCGAAGGCAGCUCUCUGGGACGGUACUGACGCUGAGACGCGAAAGCGUGGGGAGCGAACAG
This 427-nucleotide ribosomal RNA is filed under the name uncultured bacterium. Its description in RNAcentral is "bacterial SSU rRNA". It matches the Rfam family "Bacterial small subunit ribosomal RNA", at positions 355 to 775 of the family's 1533-position model. The record is from RNAcentral.